This 516-nucleotide ribosomal RNA is filed under the name uncultured soil bacterium. RNAcentral's name for it is "bacterial SSU rRNA". It matches the Rfam family "Bacterial small subunit ribosomal RNA", at positions 8 to 496 of the family's 1533-position model. The record is from RNAcentral.
AGAGUUUGAUCCUGGCUCAGAACGAACGCUGGCGGCGUGGAUAAGACAUGCAAGUCGAGCGCUGAUUCCAGGGUAGCAAUAUUCUGUGGUUGGAGCGGCGCAAGGGUGCGUAACACGUGGGUAAUCUGCCAUGAAGUUUGGGAUAACUUGCUGAAAGGCGAGCCAAUACCGGAUGUGACAAUUGAGAGGCAUCUUCCGAUUGUCAAAGCUGGGGACCGUAAGGCCUGGCGCUUCAUGAUGAGCCCGCGGCCUAUCAGCUAGUUGGUGAGGUAACGGCUCACCAAGGCUAAGACGGGUAGCUGGUCUGAGAGGACGACCAGCCACACUGGAACCGAGACACGGUCCAGACACCUACGGGUGGCAGCAGUCGAGAAUUUUUCACAAUGGGCGCAAGCCUGAUGGAAGGACGCCGCGUGGGGGAUGAAUGGCUUCGGCCCGUAAACCCAAUGUCAUUUGCGAACAAAUUGGUUCAAUUAACACCUGAACCAUUGAUAGUAGCCAAAAGAGAAGGGACCA